UUAUCUGAAUCUCAUGCGCGACGUUACGCGCA
RNAcentral lists this small RNA (32 nucleotides) under Bombyx mori (domestic silkworm). RNAcentral's name for it is "ovarian small RNA-36842". The record is from RNAcentral. Lineage: Eukaryota; Metazoa; Arthropoda; Insecta; Lepidoptera; Bombycidae.